RNAcentral lists this ribosomal RNA (683 nucleotides) under Aeromonas sp. Its description in RNAcentral is "SSU rRNA". It matches the Rfam family "Eukaryotic small subunit ribosomal RNA", at positions 1 to 684 of the family's 1831-position model. Lineage: Bacteria; Pseudomonadati; Pseudomonadota; Gammaproteobacteria; Aeromonadales; Aeromonadaceae. The record is from RNAcentral.
AUAGUUACCUGGUUGAUUCUGCCAGUAGUCAUAUGCUUGUCUCAAAGAUUAAGCCAUGCAUGUCUAAGUAUAAGCAAUUAUACGGCGAAACUGCGAAUGGCUCAUUAUAUAAGUUAUCGUUUAUUUGAUAGCACCUUACUACUUGGAUAACCGUGGUAAUUCUAGAGCUAAUACAUGCUAAAAAUCCCGACUUCGGAAGGGAUGUAUUUAUUAGAUUAAAAACCAAUGCCCUCUGGGCUCUCUGGUGAUUCAUGAUAACUUCUCGAAUCGCAUGGCCUUGCGCCGGCGAUGGUUCAUUCAAAUUUCUUCCCUAUCAACUUUCGAUGUUUGGGUAGUGGCCAAACAUGGUUGCAACGGGUAACGGAGGGUUAGGGCUCGACCCCGGAGAAGGAGCCUGAGAAACGGCUACUACAUCCAAGGAAGGCAGCAGGCGCGCAAAUUACCCAAUCCCGACACGGGGAGGUAGUGACAAUAAAUACUGAUACAGGGCUCUUUUGGGUCUUGUAAUUGGAAUGAGUACAAUUUAAAUCCCUUAACGAGGAACAAUUGGAGGGCAAGUCUGGUGCCAGCAGCCGCGGUAAUUCCAGCUCCAAUAGCGUAUAUUAAAGUUGUUGUGGUUAAAAAGCUCGUAGUUGAACCUUGGGCCUGGCUGGCCGGUCCGCCUCACCGCGUGCACUGGUCCG